Molecule: ribosomal RNA, 504 nt
Filed under: uncultured bacterium
Lineage: Bacteria
Description: partial 16S ribosomal RNA
Rfam family: Bacterial small subunit ribosomal RNA
Source: RNAcentral
GACGAACGCUGGCGGCGUGCCUAAUACAUGCAAGUAGAACGCACAGUUUAUACCGUAGCUUGCUACACCAUAAACUGUGAGUUGCGAACGGGUGAGUAACGCGUAGGUAACCUGCCUGGUAGCGGGGAUAACUAUUGGAAACGAUAGCUAAUACCGCAUAAUAUUGAUUAUUGCAUGAUAAUUGAUUGAAAGAUGCUAUUGCAUCACUACCAGAUGGACCUGCGUUGUAUUAGCUAGUAGGUGAGGUAACGGCUCACCUAGGCGACGAUACAUAGCCGACCUGAGAGGGUGAUCAGCCACACUGGGACUGAGACACGGCCCAGACUCCUACGGGAGGCAGCAGUAGGGAAUCUUCGGCAAUGGACGGAAGUCUGACCGAGCAACGCCGCGUGAGUGAAGAAGGUUUUCGGAUCGUAAAGCUCUGUUGUAAGAGAAGAACGGGUGUGAGAGUGGAAAGUUCACACUGUGACGGUAUCUUACCAGAAAGGGACGGCUAACUACGUG